Molecule: unclassified non-coding RNA, 331 nt
Filed under: soil metagenome
Description: partial contains 5.8S ribosomal RNA, internal transcribed spacer 2, and large subunit ribosomal RNA
Rfam family: 5.8S ribosomal RNA (bases 1-120)
Source: RNAcentral
GAUGAAGAACGUAGCGAAAUGCGAUAAGUAAUGUGAAUUGCAGAAUUCAGUGAAUCAUCGAAUCUUUGAACGCACAUUGCGCCCCCUGGUAUUCCGGGGGGCAUGCCUGUUCGAGCGUCAUUUCACCACUCAAGCCUCGCUUGGUAUUGGGCAACGCGGUCCGCCGCGUGCCUCAAAUCGUCCGGCUGGGUCUUCUGUCCCCUAAGCGUUGUGGAAACUAUUCGCUAAAGGGUGUUCGGGAGGCUACGCCGUAAAGCAACCCCAUUUCUAAGGUUGACCUCGGAUCAGGUAGGGAUACCCGCUGAACUUAAGCAUAUCAAUAAGCGGAGGA